Molecule: ribosomal RNA, 2900 nt
Filed under: Klebsiella pneumoniae
Lineage: Bacteria; Pseudomonadati; Pseudomonadota; Gammaproteobacteria; Enterobacterales; Enterobacteriaceae
Description: bacterial LSU rRNA
Rfam family: Bacterial large subunit ribosomal RNA
Source: RNAcentral
UUAAGCGACUAAGCGUACACGGUGGAUGCCCUGGCAGUCAGAGGCGAUGAAGGACGUGCUAAUCUGCGAAAAGCGUCGGUAAGGUGAUAUGAACCGUUACAGCCGGCGAUGUCCGAAUGGGGAAACCCAGUGCAAUUCGUUGCACUAUCGUUAACUGAAUACAUAGGUUAGCGAGGCGAACCGGGGGAACUGAAACAUCUAAGUACCCCGAGGAAAAGAAAUCAACCGAGAUUCCCCCAGUAGCGGCGAGCGAACGGGGAGCAGCCCAGAGUCUGAAUCAGCUUGUGUGUUAGUGGAACGGUCUGGAAAGUCCGACGGUACAGGGUGAUAGUCCCGUACACCAAAAUGCACAGGUUGUGAACUCGAAGAGUAGGGCGGGACACGUGGUAUCCUGUCUGAAUAUGGGGGGACCAUCCUCCAAGGCUAAAUACUCCUGACUGACCGAUAGUGAACCAGUACCGUGAGGGAAAGGCGAAAAGAACCCCGGCGAGGGGAGUGAAAAAGAACCUGAAACCGUGUACGUACAAGCAGUGGGAGCACCUUCGGGUGUGACUGCGUACCUUUUGUAUAAUGGGUCAGCGACUUAUAUUCUGUAGCAAGGUUAACCGUAUAGGGGAGCCGCAGGGAAACCGAGUCUUAACUGGGCGUUAAGUUGCAGGGUAUAGACCCGAAACCCGGUGAUCUAGCCAUGGGCAGGUUGAAGGUUGGGUAACACUAACUGGAGGACCGAACCGACUAAUGUUGAAAAAUUAGCGGAUGACUUGUGGCUGGGGGUGAAAGGCCAAUCAAACCGGGAGAUAGCUGGUUCUCCCCGAAAGCUAUUUAGGUAGCGCCUCGUGAACUCAUCUUCGGGGGUAGAGCACUGUUUCGGCUAGGGGGUCAUCCCGACUUACCAACCCGAUGCAAACUACGAAUACCGAAGAAUGUUAUCACGGGAGACACACGGCGGGUGCUAACGUCCGUCGUGAAGAGGGAAACAACCCAGACCGCCAGCUAAGGUCCCAAAGUCAUGGUUAAGUGGGAAACGAUGUGGGAAGGCACAGACAGCCAGGAUGUUGGCUUAGAAGCAGCCAUCAUUUAAAGAAAGCGUAAUAGCUCACUGGUCGAGUCGGCCUGCGCGGAAGAUGUAACGGGGCUAAACCAUGCACCGAAGCUGCGGCAGCGACACUAUGUGUUGUUGGGUAGGGGAGCGUUCUGUAAGCCUGCGAAGGUGACCUGUGAGGGUUGCUGGAGGUAUCAGAAGUGCGAAUGCUGACAUAAGUAACGAUAAAGCGGGUGAAAAGCCCGCUCGCCGGAAGACCAAGGGUUCCUGUCCAACGUUAAUCGGGGCAGGGUGAGUCGACCCCUAAGGCGAGGCCGAAAGGCGUAGUCGAUGGGAAACAGGUUAAUAUUCCUGUACUUGGUGUUACUGCGAAGGGGGGACGGAGAAGGCUAUGUUAGCCGGGCGACGGUUGUCCCGGUUUAAGCAUGUAGGCUGGUUGUCCAGGCAAAUCCGGAUAAUCAAGGCUGAGGUGUGAUGACGAGGCACUACGGUGCUGAAGUAACAAAUGCCCUGCUUCCAGGAAAAGCCUCUAAGCAUCAGGUAACAUUAAAUCGUACCCCAAACCGACACAGGUGGUCAGGUAGAGAAUACCAAGGCGCUUGAGAGAACUCGGGUGAAGGAACUAGGCAAAAUGGUGCCGUAACUUCGGGAGAAGGCACGCUGGUGUGUAGGUGAAGCCCCUGCGGGUGGAGCUGAGACCAGUCGAAGAUACCAGCUGGCUGCAACUGUUUAUUAAAAACACAGCACUGUGCAAACACGAAAGUGGACGUAUACGGUGUGACGCCUGCCCGGUGCCGGAAGGUUAAUUGAUGGGGUUAUCCGUAAGGAGAAGCUCUUGAUCGAAGCCCCGGUAAACGGCGGCCGUAACUAUAACGGUCCUAAGGUAGCGAAAUUCCUUGUCGGGUAAGUUCCGACCUGCACGAAUGGCGUAAUGAUGGCCAGGCUGUCUCCACCCGAGACUCAGUGAAAUUGAACUCGCUGUGAAGAUGCAGUGUACCCGCGGCAAGACGGAAAGACCCCGUGAACCUUUACUAUAGCUUGACACUGAACAUUGAGCCUUGAUGUGUAGGAUAGGUGGGAGGCUUUGAAGCGUGGACGCCAGUCUGCGUGGAGCCAACCUUGAAAUACCACCCUUUAAUGUUUGAUGUUCUAACGUUGGCCCCUUACCGGGGUUGCGGACAGUGUCUGGUGGGUAGUUUGACUGGGGCGGUCUCCUCCCAAAGCGUAACGGAGGAGCACGAAGGUUAGCUAAUCCUGGUCGGACAUCAGGAGGUUAGUGCAAUGGCAUAAGCUAGCUUGACUGCGAGCGUGACGGCGCGAGCAGGUGCGAAAGCAGGUCAUAGUGAUCCGGUGGUUCUGAAUGGAAGGGCCAUCGCUCAACGGAUAAAAGGUACUCCGGGGAUAACAGGCUGAUACCGCCCAAGAGUUCAUAUCGACGGCGGUGUUUGGCACCUCGAUGUCGGCUCAUCACAUCCUGGGGCUGAAGUAGGUCCCAAGGGUAUGGCUGUUCGCCAUUUAAAGUGGUACGCGAGCUGGGUUUAGAACGUCGUGAGACAGUUCGGUCCCUAUCUGCCGUGGGCGCUGGAGAAUUGAGGGGGGCUGCUCCUAGUACGAGAGGACCGGAGUGGACGCAUCACUGGUGUUCGGGUUGUCAUGCCAAUGGCACUGCCCGGUAGCUAAAUGCGGAAGAGAUAAGUGCUGAAAGCAUCUAAGCACGAAACUUGCCCCGAGAUGAGUUCUCCCUGAGACUUUAAGUCUCCUGAAGGAACGUUGAAGACGACGACGUUGAUAGGCCGGGUGUGUAAGCGCAGCGAUGCGUUGAGCUAACCGGUACUAAUGAACCGUGAGGCUUAACCUU